AUGUCGUUGAUCAUUGCCACUUUUGCAGCCCUUGCUUUGUGCUUCGCCCCUGCUCCGGGUGCAGCGGCGACAGUCUCGGCGCGGCGUCCGCUGCGGGGCAGCGACACGCUGGUCUCAGCGCAGGGCAAGUUCGAGCUCGGCCUGUUCAGCCCGGCUGGCAGCUCCGACGGCCGGUUCUACCUCGGGGUCUGGUACAAGAACAUCCCCGGCCAGACUGUCGUCUGGGUUGGCAACCGCGCGAGUCCAUUGUCCGGUGUCGCCUCCGCCCAGCUCCGGGUCUCUGCCAACGACGGCAACCUCGAGCUCGUCGGUCCCACCGCUGCCUCCGCCUCGCUGGUCGUCGUUUGGUCAUCGAACCUGUCGUCGUCGUCACUGGGCUCGAACAACACGGCGGAGAUUCGCGACAACGGCAACCUGGUCCUCCUGGACGGCAGCAACUCCUCCAACUUGCUGUGGCAGAGCUUCAACCACCCGACAGACACGCACAUGCCAGGGGCAUGGCUGGGCGAGAACAAGCUUACCGGCGAAUACCAAACACUGACAUCAUGGCGGAAUGCCCAAGACCCCGCGCCGGGGAUGUUCACCGACACGUUGGAUCCCAACGGCACCAGCGAGUUCUUCUCGAUGUGGAACCAGUCCCGUACAUAUUGGCGGACCGGCGUCUGGACGGGACGCUUCUUCGCGAGGUACCCUGAGGGGACGAGAAAUCCCCUCCUCAACCAGACGUAUGUCGACACGCCGGUGUACCGGGGCGUCACCUACGUGCUAUACGACAACGAGUCCAUCGCACGCAUGGUGCUUGAUCUCACCGGGCAGGCGAAGCGGUACGUCUGGGUGCCCGCGAGGCAGACCUGGCAAUUAUUCUGGGUCGGGCCCACCAUGCAGUGUGACGUGUACGCUCUCUGUGACGCGUUCGGCGUAUGCAACCAGAGGAGCGAGCUGCCGUGCCGGUGCCCGUCCGGGUUCAUUCUGGCGUCGGAGGCGGAGUGGACGCUCAGCAACUGGAGCGGUGGUUGUCGCCGGAGUUCGCCGCUCACAUGCUCACGUAGCGGAUUGACGACGGACGGGUUCUUAGCACUGCAGGACGUGAAGCUCCCCGACGACUCGCUCGUCGUGGGCGCUGCCCAAAGCAAAGCGGAGUGUGAAUCCGCUUGCCAAAAUAACCGCUCUUGCCAGGCCUACGCAUUCUCCGCCGGGGGUUGCACCGUCUGGCACAGAGAGCUCAAGAACCUCGCGGACUCUGACAUCUCAGGGUCAGAACUGUAUCUACGGCUUUCAAAAAGAGGAUUGCAAGAUCUCCAAAGCGUAGACAGGAAGAAAGGUGGGAGAAAGUUAUGGCUUGUCCUUGGCAUCACAUUGGCCGGUGUUGCAGCACUGGCCACGUCGGUCAUACUAUCCUGGAGAAUUGUUUCUGCCCGGACGAGGAGACUGGUCAGCAUUGCAAACGUGAAUGGAUCCUCCUUGGCCGUGUAUAGCUACAACGACAUCCGUGCCGCCACAAAGAACUUUUCAGAGCGGCUGGGCGGCGGUGGCUUUGGCUCAGUGUACCGCGACGUCCUGAAGCAGCAAAUGGGAGACAACACGUCCCAAGUUCAGGUGGCAGUCAAGAAGCUGGAAAACCUUUGCCAGGGAGACAAACAAUUUCGGAUGGAGGUGAGCACACUGGGCUGCAUCGAGCACGUUAACCUCGUCAGGCUCCUCGGGUUUUGCUCGUCGGGCAACAAAAAGAUGCUCGUCUAUGAGUACAUGGCCAGAGGCUCCCUCGAUGGCUAUCUUUUCUGUGUAGGUGCAUGCCUGAGCUGGUGA
Molecule: ribosomal RNA, 1806 nt
Filed under: Triticum aestivum (bread wheat)
Lineage: Eukaryota; Viridiplantae; Streptophyta; Magnoliopsida; Poales; Poaceae
Description: partial small subunit ribosomal RNA
Source: RNAcentral